GGGGGAGAGCUGGAGACAAAGGAGCUGCAGAUCUGAAUAUCCAGUGAGCUUGGAGCCAUGAAGCUGCCAUGCACUGAUCUUUAAAAGGAAUUGGCCAGGUGAUUUCCCCUUUUUGGGGUUAAAGGAUGGCGAGAUUCUAAGAUCUGGCUGGAGCCAGGAGAACCGAAUUUCACUCCAUACUGGUCUGGUAGGAGUUUGAUGGUCCAUGAACUUUCCCCUCCUCCUCAUUACACAGACACACUACCCAUUAUUCACCCUUUCCAUCAGAGCUGAAUUGCGCUUGGACAUUUUCCCUUAAAGUUUCUGGAUAAACAAACUAUGGACUUUUAAAUGUGUGUCGGUCAGACACUGUGUUGACCAAGCGGGGAAAAGUGAAGGACUCUGUGCACAUUAGAACAUCAACUGCAGUAUUGUGUAUAUAUUUAUUGUAUUUUGGUUUCCAUGUAUGUUUUGUGUUUUGUA
Molecule: long non-coding RNA, 462 nt
Organism: Xiphophorus couchianus (Monterrey platyfish)
Lineage: Eukaryota; Metazoa; Chordata; Actinopteri; Cyprinodontiformes; Poeciliidae
Exons: 3
Source: RefSeq, a predicted model, not a curated record